This 252-nucleotide ribosomal RNA is filed under the name uncultured bacterium. RNAcentral describes it as "partial 16S ribosomal RNA". It matches the Rfam family "Bacterial small subunit ribosomal RNA", at positions 524 to 776 of the family's 1533-position model. The record is from RNAcentral.
UACAGGGGGUGCAAACGUUGCUCGGAAUUAUUGGGCGUAAAGCGCGCGUAGGCGGCCGCUUAAGUCGGAUGUGAAAGCCCCUGGCUCAACUGGGGAAGUGCACCCGAAACUGAGUGGCUUGAGUACUAAAGAGGGUCGCGGAAUUCCCGGUGUAGAGGUGAAAUUCGUAGAUAUCGGGAGGAACACCGGUGGCGAAGGCGGCGACCUGGGUAGAUACUGACGCUGAGGCGCGAAAGCGUGGGAGCAAACAGG